UACAGAGGGUGCGAGCGUUAAUCGGAAUUACUGGGCGUAAAGCGCGCGUAGGCGGCUUUGCAAGUCGGGUGUGAAAUCCCCAGGCUUAACCUGGGAACUGCAUUCGAGACUGCAUUGCUAGAGUAUGGGAGAGGGAAGUGGAAUUUCCGGUGUAGCGGUGAAAUGCGUAGAUAUCGGAAGGAACACCAGUGGCGAAGGCGGCGGCCUGGACUGAUACUGACGCUGAGGUGCGAAAGCGUGGGGAGCAAACAGG
This 253-nucleotide ribosomal RNA is filed under the name uncultured bacterium. RNAcentral describes it as "partial 16S ribosomal RNA". It matches the Rfam family "Bacterial small subunit ribosomal RNA", at positions 524 to 776 of the family's 1533-position model. The record is from RNAcentral.